RNAcentral lists this ribosomal RNA (253 nucleotides) under uncultured bacterium. RNAcentral describes it as "partial 16S ribosomal RNA". It matches the Rfam family "Bacterial small subunit ribosomal RNA", at positions 524 to 776 of the family's 1533-position model. The record is from RNAcentral.
UACGGAAGGGGCUAGCGUUGUUCGGAAUUACUGGGCGUAAAGCGCGCGUAGGCGGUUGAUCGAGUGAGACGUGAAAGGCCUGGGCUCAACCUGGGAACGGCGUUUCAGACUGAGCGACUGGAGUCCGGAAGAGGAUGGUGGAAUUCCCAGUGUAGAGGUGAAAUUCGUAGAUAUUGGGAGGAACACCGGUGGCGAAGGCGGCCAUCUGGUCCGGUACUGACGCUGUAGCGCGAAAGCGUGGGGAGCAAACAGG